RNAcentral lists this long non-coding RNA (729 nucleotides) under Mytilus galloprovincialis (Mediterranean mussel). Lineage: Eukaryota; Metazoa; Mollusca; Bivalvia; Mytilida; Mytilidae. The record is from RNAcentral.
ACAUAAAUGUACAAAUAAUUCUAAUUCAGUUGAAUUAAUCGUUUACUAUGUAAUUAUUCUGUACUAAUAAACUCCGAUGAUGCCUUUUAUAUUACAGCUAAUUUCCUAAUGCAUGUAGAACAAAACUUUGGUUAGCUUGCUUGCUUGGUUUUUAUAUUGUACAAUCCAUAGGAUAACACCCAAUUAAAUUCAAAUAUAAUAUAUUCAGGUUAAACAAUGCCUAUAUAUUUUGUUUAAAGAUGUCAAUCUUAUUUACAAAGCUUGUAUUAACAAUUAUACAAACAAAGCAAGCAAGCAAAACAAAGUUUUACUUUGCAAGCAAUAAGAAAUCAGCUGUAAUCCGCGAAUACUGCACGGCGGGCUUUUAAAAGAAUUGACUUCCUUUUUUUUCAACAGUUCUGAUGUUUUAAAAGAUAUUCAAAUCAUAAACUGGUUAUCAGGUAUUUUGAUAAAUUUUAGGUUUCCAGCAUCACUACUAAAGUGAAGACAUACAAACAAGAGUCAUAAGUCCAGUGCCAAAUAUUUCAUGCAUUAUUCGAACGAUAUCAUAUUAACAAUAAAUACUAUACAUAAGUUUUAUUAUCAUAACGGGGAUUUAGGACUGGGCCUAAAUUUGUUUACGAGUAUUCGGGAUUAACAUUAGUUAAACUUAAAAAUCUAAAGAGCCAGUAAAGACAGAUUUAACUUCAAUAAGAAACUAUUUGAUUCUCUCAAAAAAUAGAAAAAAAA